Molecule: ribosomal RNA, 253 nt
Filed under: uncultured bacterium
Lineage: Bacteria
Description: partial 16S ribosomal RNA
Rfam family: Bacterial small subunit ribosomal RNA
Source: RNAcentral
UACGGGGGGAGCAAGCGUUGUUCGGAUUUACUGGGCGUAAAGGGCGCGUAGGCGGCGCAACAAGUCACUUGUGAAAUCUCCGGGCUUAACCCGGAGCGGUCAAGUGAUACUGUCGUGCUAGAGUGCGGAAGGGGCAACUGGAAUUCUCGGUGUAGCGGUGAAAUGCGUAGAUAUCGAGAGGAACACCUGCGGCGAAGGCGGGUCUCUGGGCCGAUACUGACGCUGAGGAGCGAAGACGUGGGGAGCAAACAGG